Molecule: non-coding RNA, 76 nt
Filed under: Gemmatimonas phototrophica
Lineage: Bacteria; Pseudomonadati; Gemmatimonadota; Gemmatimonadia; Gemmatimonadales; Gemmatimonadaceae
Source: RNAcentral
UCCCGGUGCCGUGGUGAUUUGCCGCCGAUUGCCGCCACGCAAAACAAGGAGCUAAACAGCGAGUGCGCCCGGCGGC